RNAcentral lists this ribosomal RNA (270 nucleotides) under uncultured prokaryote. RNAcentral describes it as "partial 16S ribosomal RNA". It matches the Rfam family "Bacterial small subunit ribosomal RNA", at positions 524 to 792 of the family's 1533-position model. The record is from RNAcentral.
UACGGAGGAUGCGAGCGUUAUCCGGAUUUAUUGGGUUUAAAGGGUGCGUAGGCGGCUUUUUAAGUCAGCGGUGAAAAUUUUGCAGCUCAACUGUAAAAGUGCCUUCGAAACUGGUUUCCUUGAGUGUAGAUGAAGUAGGCGGAAUUUGUGGUGUAGCGGUGAAAUGCAUAGAUAUCACGAGGAACUCCGAUUGCGCAGGCAGCUUACUAAACUACUACUGACGCUCAGGCACGAAGGCGUGGGGAUCAAACAGGAUUAGAUACCCCUGUA